RNAcentral lists this ribosomal RNA (452 nucleotides) under uncultured bacterium. RNAcentral's name for it is "bacterial SSU rRNA". It matches the Rfam family "Bacterial small subunit ribosomal RNA", at positions 29 to 524 of the family's 1533-position model. The record is from RNAcentral.
AGCGAACGCUGGCGGCAGGCUUAACACAUGCAAGUCGAACGGGCGUAGCAAUACGUCAGUGGCAGACGGGUGAGUAACGCGUGGGAACGUACCUUUUGGUUCGGAACAACCCAGGGAAACUUGGGCUAAUACCGGAUAAGCCCUUACGGGGAAAGAUUUAUCGCCGAAAGAUCGGCCCGCGUCUGAUUAGCUAGUUGGUGUGGUAACGGCGCACCAAGGCGACGAUCAGUAGCUGGUCUGAGAGGAUGAUCAGCCACAUUGGGACUGAGACACGGCCCAAACUCCUACGGGAGGCAGCAGUGGGGAAUAUUGGACAAUGGGCGCAAGCCUGAUCCAGCCAUGCCGCGUGAGUGAUGAAGGCCCUAGGGUUGUAAAGCUCUUUUGUGCGGGAAGAUAAUGACGGUACCGCAAGAAUAAGCCCCGGCUAACUUCGUGCCAGCAGCCGCCGUAAG